UUCGUAGGCGGUGCGGCAAGUUGGGAGUGAAAUCUCUGGGCUUAACUCAGAGGCUGCUUUCAAAACUGCCGUGCUCGAGUGCGGGAGAGGCCAGUGGAAUUGCAGGUGUAGCGGUGAAAUGCGUAGAUAUCUGCAGGAACACCCGUGGCGAAAGCGGCUGGCUGGACCGCAACUGACGCUGAGGAACGAAAGCUAGGGGAGCAAACAGGAUUAGAGACCCUGGUAGUCCUAGCCCUAAACGAUCAGGACUUGGGGUGCCCCGCGUAGGCGGGUCGUCUCGUAGCUAACGCGAUAAGUCCUGCGCCUGGGGAGUACGGUCGCAAGACUGAA
Molecule: ribosomal RNA, 330 nt
Filed under: uncultured bacterium
Lineage: Bacteria
Description: bacterial SSU rRNA
Rfam family: Bacterial small subunit ribosomal RNA
Source: RNAcentral